Non-coding RNA from Octopus bimaculoides (California two-spot octopus), 104 nucleotides. NCBI's taxonomy places the organism in Eukaryota, Metazoa, Mollusca, Cephalopoda, Octopoda, Octopodidae. The record is from Rfam.
AUGUUUAUGAUAUUACAUAUUCUCAACCUGGAGAGAUAAGGAGUAGAUUAGCGUGGCCCCUGCGCUUGGAUGACGGGCAAAUUCGUGAAGCGUUCCAUAUUUUU